This 862-nucleotide small RNA is filed under the name Schizosaccharomyces pombe (fission yeast). RNAcentral describes it as "small heterochromatic RNA precursor". The record is from RNAcentral. Lineage: Eukaryota; Fungi; Ascomycota; Schizosaccharomycetes; Schizosaccharomycetales; Schizosaccharomycetaceae.
UUUUUUUUUUUUUUUUUUUUUCCUGACAGUUAAUUCAUUAAUACUAAUACUAUCGAGGAUUCUGUCAUCCAAGNGGAAUGAACAUGGGCAUCAAAGGAAUGUUUCCUCAAAGNGAGAACUAUAGNGUUGCAAGAGCGAAUACUUGGUCGCUUANAACAAAACGAAUUACUGUCAUUAGGAUAUGCUCAAAAGNGNGGCGCUAUAUCUUGUAUCUAUUGCUACGUUCAUUCAUUGAUCCAACAGUAUGGGUAUAGAAAGAAGACGAUAAGCAGGAGUUGCGCAAACGAAGUUAUGGAGUUUCUUGCAUGCAUGCAUGUUUUGGCAUAAAGCUGGUACUUCNAAAUAUGCCUAUGAAAUCUCUACCUGCUUUGCACCCUAAAUAUAACGNGUCGUCUUGUAGCUGCAUGUGAAUUACAACGAUUGAUAGAUGAAAAACAAAUCGACUUGUUGCCCAUUUCAUCGUUUCAAACGACUGGNAGNGUUGCUUGUGUCCAUACCCAUGCUGUGUCCAUAUCCAUACUAUGUCCGGGUGUUUUGCUUUAUUACACUUGGUCAAANAAAUCUAUAUGAUGUUCUUUACGAAACCCACAAAGUCACAAUUGUGAUCUUCCAAUGCUUAAUAAAUACGAAAUCUUAUUUCGAUUUACAGGCUGGGCAUUCACGAAACAUAGCGUUUUUACAUUUCUACAGGCACACUAUAAACAACUUGCAAUAUCUGCCAUCACUUUAUUUCUCNAACUUUGUUCAAGUUAAAAGNGGCAGAAAGUGUUUCCCGAUAUGAGAUANCCCANCGCAUAUGUUGUUGCAAAACUAAACGCCCAUUCNUCAAACGAGUCGAGAUGAGAGGAAUCNUUGUAUAAAA